AGUUAAAUAAUUUAUUAAAAUAUUUACCUUGAAAGUAAAAUAUGGAAUCUCUCCUUUAACUU
This 62-nucleotide transfer RNA is filed under the name Pachypsylla venusta (hackberry petiole gall psyllid). RNAcentral's name for it is "tRNA-Ser". Lineage: Eukaryota; Metazoa; Arthropoda; Insecta; Hemiptera; Aphalaridae. The record is from RNAcentral.